UACGUAGGCGGAAUAUUAAGUCAGUGGUGAAAUCCUGCGGCUCAACCGUAGAACUGCCAUUGAUACUGAUAUUCUUGAAUGUAGUUGAGGUAGGCGGAAUGUGUAAUGUAGCGGUGAAAUGCUUAGAUAUUACACAGAACACCGAUUGCGAAGGCAGCUUGCUAAACUAAUAUUGACGCUGAUGCACGAAAGCGUGAGGAGCGAACAGGAUUAGAUACCCUGGUAGUCC
RNAcentral lists this ribosomal RNA (229 nucleotides) under uncultured bacterium. RNAcentral's name for it is "partial 16S ribosomal RNA". It matches the Rfam family "Bacterial small subunit ribosomal RNA", at positions 568 to 796 of the family's 1533-position model. The record is from RNAcentral.